Molecule: long non-coding RNA, 642 nt
Organism: Amblyraja radiata (thorny skate)
Lineage: Eukaryota; Metazoa; Chordata; Chondrichthyes; Rajiformes; Rajidae
Exons: 2
Source: RefSeq, a predicted model, not a curated record
CCGAGGGAGGGGUCUGGUCCAUCGGGUGCCACCAGAAGGUGUUCAGGGUCAACUACGCCAAUUCCAAGCGGAUCUCCAUCCACCCAGCCACCCAGGAGAAGAUCCAGAUGAUCGGCGUAUAUGUUGACUACGGCGAGGGCAAGGUCCUGUUCUGUGAUGACAGCACUGGCUCUCACCUCCACUCCUUCCGCGAUUGUAAAUUCAUGUGGGGGCUCCUCCCCUUCUUCAACGUUUCUGCUUCAGGAAACGCACUGACGAUUUGUCCAGUUGUCCAUGUUGCAUGAGUCCGCGUUCAUUGUCCAGUUGUCCAUGUUGCAUGAGUCCGAGUUCAUUGUCCAUGUCCAUGUUGUAUGAGUCCGAGUUCAUUGUCCAGUUGUCCAUGUCUAGGCUGCAUGAGUCCUAGUUCAUUGUCCAUUUGUCCAUGUCCAGGCUGCAUGAGUCCUAGUUGCCCUGGCAUCGAGUGUCCACUUACAAGUUAAUAUCACCAGCAACUUGUCCCAGACCAGCCACAUCGCAGCAACGACCAAGAAAGCAAACCAACGCCUCUACUUCCUGAAGAAGGCUUAGGAGGUUCAGCAUGUCCCCAACAACUCUUCCCAACUUCUACGCAUGCCCCGUGGAAAGCAUUUUAUCCGGGAUUCA